CUGGCUCAGGAUGAACGCUAGCUACAGGCUUAACACAUGCAAGUCGAGGGGCAUCAGGAUGUAGCAAUACAUUGCUGGCGACCGGCGCACGGGUGAGUAACACGUAUCCAACCUGCCUUUUACUCGGGGAUAGGCUUUCGAAAGAAAGAUUAAUACCGGAUAGUAUCGAGAGAUUGCAUGAUUACCCGAUUAAAGAUUCAUCGGUAACGGAUGGGGAUGCGUUCCAUUAGGCAGUUGGCGGGG
RNAcentral lists this ribosomal RNA (243 nucleotides) under uncultured bacterium. RNAcentral's name for it is "partial 16S ribosomal RNA". It matches the Rfam family "Bacterial small subunit ribosomal RNA", at positions 19 to 257 of the family's 1533-position model. The record is from RNAcentral.